This 1833-nucleotide ribosomal RNA is filed under the name marine metagenome. Its description in RNAcentral is "bacterial LSU rRNA". It matches the Rfam family "Bacterial large subunit ribosomal RNA", at positions 473 to 2302 of the family's 2925-position model. The record is from RNAcentral.
CUACCAACUGACCGAUAGUGAACUAGUACCGUGAGGGAAAGGCGAAAAGAACCCCGGAGAGGGGAGUGAAAUAGAUCCUGAAACCGUAUGCGUACAAGCAGUAGGAGCAGACUUGUUCUGUGACUGCGUACCUUUUGUAUAAUGGGUCAGCGACUUAUUUUCAGUGGCAAGGUUAACCGUAUAGGGGAGCCGUAGGGAAACCGAGUCUUAAUAGGGCGUCUUAGUCGCUGGGAAUAGACCCGAAACCGGGCGAUCUAUCCAUGGCCAGGUUGAAGGUGCCGUAACAGGCACUGGAGGACCGAACCCACUAAUGUUGAAAAAUUAGGGGAUGAGCUGUGGAUCGGAGUGAAAGGCUAAUCAAGCCCGGAGAUAGCUGGUUCUCCUCGAAAGCUAUUUAGGUAGCGCCUCGUGUCUCACCAUUGGGGGUAGAGCACUGUUUCGGCUAGGGGGUCAUCCCGACUUACCAACCCGAUGCAAACUCCGAAUACCAAUGAGUGCAAUCACGGGAGACACACGGCGGGUGCUAACGUCCGUCGUGGAAAGGGAAACAACCCAGACCGCCAGUUAAGGUCCCAAAAUCAUAGCUCAGUGGGAAACGAUGUGGGAAGGCAUAGACAGCCAGGAGGUUGGCUUAGAAGCAGCCAUCCUUUAAAGAAAGCGUAAUAGCUCACUGGUCGAGUCGGCCUGCGCGGAAGAUUUAACGGGGCUAAGCUAUGCACCGAAGUUGCGGAUAUGUAUUAAUAUAUAUGGUAGGGGAGCGUUCUGUAAGCCGAUGAAGGUGUGUUGAGAAGCAUGCUGGAGGUAUCAGAAGUGCGAAUGCUGACAUGAGUAACGUAAAAUAAGUGAGAUUCUUAUUGGCCGAAAACCCAAGGAUUCCUACGCAAUGUUAAUCAACGUAGGGUAAGCCGGCACCUAAGGCGUAGCUGAAGAGCGAAGUCGAUGGACAACAGGUUAAUAUUCCUGUGCUGCUUAUAUGAAUGAUGGAGGGACGGAGAAGGCUAGGUAGGCCCGGCGAAUGGUUGUCCGGGUGAAAGUAAGUAGGUAGAUUUGUUAGGUAAAUCCGGCGAAUUGUUGAUCUGAGAUACGAGACGAAGUCAAAUUUAUUUGACGAAGCUAUUGAUGCCAUGCUUCCAGGAAAAUCUUCUAAGUAUAUUGUAUAAGUAACCGUACUGUAAACCGACACUGGUGGGUAGGUAGAGAAUACUAAGGCUAUGGGAGAACUAUGGUGAAGGAACUAGGCAAAAUGACACCGUAACUUUGGAAGAAGGUGUGCCCAUAUUAGGUGAAAGGACUUGCUCCUGGAGCUGAAGUGGGUUGCAAUUAUCAGGUGGCUGCGACUGUUUAUCAAAAACACAGCACUCUGCGAAAUCGUAAGAUGAAGUAUAGGGUGUGACGCCUGCCCGGUGCUGGAAGGUUAAUUGAAGAGGUUAGCGCAAGCGAAGCUUUGGAUCGAAGCCCCAGUAAACGGCGGCCGUAACUAUAACGGUCCUAAGGUAGCGAAAUUCCUUGUCGGGUAAGUUCCGACCUGCACGAAUGGCGUAACGACGGCCACACUGUCUCCACCAUAGACCCAGUGAAAUUGAAAUCGCAGUGAAGAUGCUGUGUACCCGCGGUUAGACGGAAAGACCCCGUGAACCUUUACUACAGCUUUGCACUGGACUUUGAAUAUUUAUGUGUAGGAUAGGUGGGAGACUAUGAAGCAGCGUCGCUAGAUGUUGUGGAGUCGACCUUGAAAUACCACCCUUGACUAUUUGAAGUUCUAACUCAGGAGAAAUUCGAGGACAGUGUAUGGUGGGUAGUUUGACUGGGGCGGUCUCCUCCCAAAGAGUAACG